Molecule: ribosomal RNA, 497 nt
Filed under: uncultured bacterium
Lineage: Bacteria
Description: partial 16S ribosomal RNA
Rfam family: Bacterial small subunit ribosomal RNA
Source: RNAcentral
GAUGAACGCUGGCGGCGUGCCUAAUACAUGCAAGUCGAGCGAACAGAUGGGGAGCUUGCUCCUCUGACGGUAGCGGCGGACGGGUGAGUAACACGUGGAUAACAUACCUAUAAGACUGGGAUAACUUCGGGAAACCGGAGCUAAUACCGGAUAAUAUAUUGAACCGCAUGGUUCAAUAGUGAAAGACGGUUUUGCUGUCACUUAUAGAUGGAUCCGCGCCGCAUUAGCUAGUUGGUAAGGUAACGGCUUACCAAGGCGACGAUGCGUAGCCGACCUGAGAGGGUGAUCGGCCACACUGGCACUGAGACACGGUCCAGACUCCUACGGUGGGCAGCAGUAGGGAAUCUUCCGCAAUGGGGGAAAGCCUGACGGAGCAACGCCGCGUGAGUGAUGAAGGUCUUCGGAUCGUAAAACUCUGUUAUUAGGGAAGAACAAAUGUGUAAGUGACUAUGCACGUCUUGACGGUACCUAAUCAGAAAGCCACGGCUAACUACGUG